AAACCAAAAAAAAAAAAAAAAAAAAGCUCCUGCACUUCAAGAGAUCUUGCCAUAUUGGCCUUUGGUGGGCCAGCCAAGGAAAGCAGAGGUGUCUCUAGUGGCAUUUCCCAAAGACUAUGUAGCCCACGAUGACAAUAGACUGACACGGAAGCAGAUAUGAGAAUCUCUCAGUUUCCUACCAAGUCAGACGCCAGAUUUGCAAAAAAUCAAGAAUAUUGACAUUCCCCCUUUUUGUUUCAGAAUAUAUAAUUAUUUUUCAUAAAAGAUUACUACUUUAUUUCUUAAGUUUUUGGAGACAGCUCUCACUGUAUAGCCCCCGAUGGGUGGUACUGUGGCACGUUUGUUUUCGCUGCAGAAUAUUACUUUAACUGUGCAAAUGUGUGCUGCUCUAAUUUAUGCUGCAUUUGUUUAAUUACGUAAAGAUGUGCUGCAUCUGUUUCACCUUGCCUGCCUGAGGACCUGAUUGGCGUGAUAGAGAGCGAGGCAGAGAAAGGUGCUGGCGAUCAAACCAAGGAAUGAGCUACCAACUGGGCUGCUGCACAGUCCUUGAGCAUCACAGUCCUUGAGCAUCACCUGCCCAGAACAGAGCCGUCCAGGGCUGAGAGGAAAAGGUCAAUUUAUCACCGUUACCACUAUCCACACGUGGGAACGAUGGCUAAUCUGAGAAAUUAAGCCAUCUAUCUAUCUAUCUAUCUAUCUAUCUAUCUAUCUAUCUAUCUAUCCAUCAUAUCUACCUACCAUCUAUGUAUAAUCUAUCAUAUCUAUCAUCUAUCCAUCCA
Long non-coding RNA from Mesocricetus auratus (golden hamster), 779 nucleotides. RefSeq lists it as uncharacterized. The transcript has 3 exons. Lineage: Eukaryota; Metazoa; Chordata; Mammalia; Rodentia; Cricetidae. The record is from RefSeq and is a predicted model, not a curated record.